GGGAUAAUAGUUAAAUAUAACAUUUAAGUUGCAUUUAAAAAGUAUUGGGAUACCAAUUUAUCUUA
Molecule: transfer RNA, 65 nt
Filed under: Chaetocnema pelagica
Lineage: Eukaryota; Metazoa; Arthropoda; Insecta; Coleoptera; Chrysomelidae
Description: tRNA-Ala
Source: RNAcentral